Chloropicon primus is the source of this 72-nucleotide non-coding RNA. The record is from the annotation of a GenBank genome assembly. Lineage: Eukaryota; Viridiplantae; Chlorophyta; Chloropicophyceae; Chloropicales; Chloropicaceae.
GGGAUAAUGGUCUAGUGGUAUGAUUCUCGCUUUGGGUGCGAGAGGUCCGGGGUUCGAUUCCCUGUUGUCCCC